This 1014-nucleotide long non-coding RNA is filed under the name Ursus maritimus (polar bear). RNAcentral's name for it is "lncRNA (ENSUMAG00000019119.1)". The record is from RNAcentral. Lineage: Eukaryota; Metazoa; Chordata; Mammalia; Carnivora; Ursidae.
UUUUUUUCUGUUCAAGCAGAUGGUUUGCAUUAAAAAUGAUACUGGCUAAGGGAAUUUCAGCCUUUGGGGAAAUUCCUCCAAAUGGAGUUUCAUGAGACGCCGCUGCCGUGUUGGGGAGCACACGGACGGUAACCGCGCGCAGCAAAGCUCCAGGAAAGAUGGUUUCUCUCCCGCGUCCUCCCUGGGGGACGCCACCAAGAGGCACCUUCACCCCCAGCCAGGCUCAGACAAAUCCCCGGGAACCUGUGCAUUUGGGGGUUUGCACAUGGAGCCACUCCCUGCAGCCGGAACGUUCCUCACACAUGCAGCUGAUUUCCCCCAUCACAGAAAACGCAGUGGAAGCAGGACACGGAAGGACCGGACAGAGAACAGAGGAAGAGGAACACUCCCUGAGCUCAGAUGCGUCCAUGACCGUCAUUCCCAACAAAUGCUCCUGGAUCCUUACCGUGGAGAGACCAAGUAUCCAAAGGAGACACGGCCACACCAGCUGUUCAAACAGCACUCUGACCCACGACUUGCAAGCGAGCUGUCCACACAGCCCAGCAGCCCUUGAAGCCAUCGGCCCCAGGCGUGCAGGACUUGGAUCAAUGCCUGCUAAGAUCCCCAACUGUCGCCCCUGUUUCCACCUAACAGCAACCCCAGAAAGCACACCGUGCUCCCCUGACCGAUCUCUAGGAUGCCCUGCUUCUUUCCCUGACAGCAGGCCCCGGCCAGGACAUACCUGCAUCUUCCUUUUAUCCGUGAGAAGUGGGACUACCCCUCUGCCUGGGAGCCUUUACCCAACACAGAUGAUGGUGGCCAACUCCUUCGUGAGCUUGGGUGGUCUCCAUCAUUCCCUCACCAUAUCUGUACCUCUUUCAUGAACUGCCCCUGGUCCCUAUUUUCAGCACCCGAUGUCUGUGCUCUCACAGCUCAGACCGAUGGCCCCUGCUAUCCCCUUGCUAGCAGCCCUGAGCCCAGUCCCCUCUUCUCCGUCCUAGAUGGCUGCCACCUGCCAUGCAUCCUGCAAAGCCC